Pangasianodon hypophthalmus (striped catfish) is the source of this 724-nucleotide non-coding RNA. The record is from the annotation of a RefSeq genome assembly. NCBI's taxonomy places the organism in Eukaryota, Metazoa, Chordata, Actinopteri, Siluriformes, Pangasiidae.
UAAAAAUGUUAUGGUCUAAUCAGUUGUUCACAGAGAUUCGUUAGUGUUGUGUUUAUUUCAGACUAAUUUUAAAAAGAAUUGAUUGAGUUUUCAAAGAGAAAGAAUGUUAAUGAAUAAAUUAGUAAACCUGAGUCUUCAAGAUCAUGCAGUAGUUGAUCAUGCAUUUUAUGCAAAUCCUCCACUCGUGUCUCUUACAUUAAGGAGGUGAGUGUGUGUGUGUGUGUGUGUGGUGAGGAGGAGGAGAGCAGCUGAGCAGUUUAAUUCACUUCAGUUAAUUACCCAAACAACGAUGUUCUCAUCAGUGCUGCUGCUGCUAACGGCUGCAUUCUGUGGCGUUGGCGGUGUGGAGCUCACUCAGUCAGCCUCUGUGCUCGUGAAACCUGGAGAGUCCUUCUCCAUCUCUUGUAAGAUCUCAGAGUCGAGUUAUUGUAUUAACUGGAUACGACAACCUGCUGGGAAAGUACUGGAAUGGCUCGGAUAUCUGUGUGAUGGUGGCGGCACUAAUCUCAAAGACACAAUGAAGAGCAAGAUCAGUUUCAGCCAGGACACAUCCAGCAGCACAGUUUAUUUAAGAGGACAAAACUUUCAGACUGAGGACACGGCUGUGUAUUACUGCGCCAGAGACACAGCACUACAAACUCACUGCAGCCCUGUACAAAAACAUCCCUGUUCAUGUUCAUCUCUCUGCAGUACACUUGUCCCCAGGGACGCCUGCUAUAAAUGA